AGGGCCCUUUAAGAUCUUCUGAUUGAAGCCCUUCAUGUAGUCAUGCUGUUCCUCACUUGGCCAUCGCCUGUAUCUUGAGCCAUAAUCGGAGGCAGGGGGCAGUGACCAGAGCUGUAGCCCUAGAAGCACACACUGAGGUUGGGGAGAAGGGGAUUCUGAGCAGCACUUUACUCUAGUUGUAACCUUCUGAGUGGGACUGGGGUCAUGAACACUGAAUCAGAGUCUUUCGAUCAAUGUACUGUCAUUGGAAACACAGAGGCCAGUUGUCCCCUGAUGUGUCUGGGAAUCAAAUAGGAUAAAAUGAGCUGAAGGUGAGGUUAGAAGGACUUAGAUUAGACUUUCAGAAGGACUGGCGUAGUGGAAACAGUGAUUGUGGCAUUGUUUUCUCUAGGAGGCUUUUAAAAAUAGGAACUGUUUUAUUUGAUCUGGGGUAGGUAUGGAAGUCUUUAUAUAAGGUUAUGGAGUGAUGGUCAGUUUGAUUGUCUAGGGUCACCUCUAGCAAGCCCAAGCAGCUGAGAAAUCCUCAGUCUUUAAGUAAGACAGACCUGGAGGAAAGAAAGGCAGACUUGGAGCUGGGGAAGGUGGGGGAAGGGAGGCAGGUAUUGGUGGAGGGUUGCUGAAGACCAUCUGUGUUUCAUUACAGAGCUGCCACACUCACCCUCCCCCCGUGUGCCCUUCUUCCCACCUUCCCUCUCUGUCUCUGUCUCUCUCUCAAACGCACAGACCACUGCUCCGUCUCCACUCCUGUCCUUAAUUCUAGAGAGGAUGCUGAAGGAGCAUCAUAUCAGACUCCCGUUCCUUCUUCCCAGGCUCCAUAGAUACAGCUCUCAAAGCUGAGGACUGUACCGUCUUCUGGAGCCCAGUUUCCCUGCCCGUCUUUGCUGCCGUUCACACUGUUUCUUUACGGAGGCAAGCUUCUUUGUCUCAGGGAUCGAGGGUUUUCCUAAAUCUCCCAGCUUUGCCCAGCCCCUGUCUGAGAAUAGCUGGACUGGGAUGAAACCACAAAGAGAGAGAGGGGUGGAGGUAGAGAAGGCUUCGGGUUUCUCUCCUGGACUGGGUGCACUCUGCUUAAUUAGCAUGAGAAUAGAAAGACGGUCUCCCUACCUCCCUUAGGGAUGGAGAGGAACUGAAGAGCAAAGACUCACGCUCUGUCCUACUCCAUCAGAGAUUCUGGGACUGGGGAAAUGACCACUUUCACAUUCCUCCGAUCCUCUGCGGACCCCAGGACCCAGGGUACUGAGAAAAGCUUUGAUGGAGCCGGCUGGUGGAUCUCCACUCCAGAUUUUCCAGCUGUCCCUGUCCCCCCACCGCUCAGAGAGCAGGAUGCUGAGAUGGCUCGGUGAUGCAGAAGAAAAAUCACUGGCAAAGAGUGACUGGGAUGCCUGGCCAUAGGUUUUGAAACCACUAUGGCUCCAUUCCUUUACCUCUGAGCACAUGAAAAGGCAGAUCAUCCCAUAUGCUGAUAAGGAAAAGUCCAGUUGUCCUCGAAGGUGAGAUGUGAUCAUUGUUCUUCAUCUCAGUGGAAUAAACUACACAGAAGCAUGCUAAUUAUCAGCAGGAGACGAACUUGUCCCCAGAAAGUCAAGGUCUUACACUUCAGUGGUCUUGACUGCAAAGUUCCCAGCCUUUCCUGCUUGCCAGACAGGCUUUGAGUGAAGAUAAUCCAGGAGAGAGGGAGAAGUUGGAGGUUCUGAAGAGAAAAGAUCAUGGUAAGGCUUGAUGUCUUCUAGGAUUUAAGAAACAAUGGCACCCAGUGCCAAAGGGAAAAGAUGAGCUUCGAGAGGGAAGAAGGAUGUGAUGAAGGCCAGUGAAUAGGUGAGUUCAUAGGUAAGAUGUGGGGCUUCACCUCCAGUGGCUUCUAUUCUUCUAGACUGAAGAAUGAGGUGAAACCAUGAGCAAUGAGUGAACAAGUGCUUGGACCUGUUCUCUUUCUCAUGGCAUGAAACUAAUUUUGCCAGUUCUUAAGAUAGUCAAGGGCCUCCCUGGUGGCUCAGUGGUAAAGAAUCUGCUUAUCAUGCAGGAGAUGCAGAAGACAUG
Long non-coding RNA from Bubalus bubalis (water buffalo), 2037 nucleotides. RefSeq lists it as uncharacterized. NCBI's taxonomy places the organism in Eukaryota, Metazoa, Chordata, Mammalia, Artiodactyla, Bovidae. The record is from RefSeq and is a predicted model, not a curated record. The transcript has 4 exons.